AUGUAUGUAUGGUUACCGUUGGAGUCAGAGAAAAGGGCCAGAUGAUGGUACCCUGCAGGCUGAGGGGCAGCAAUAAACCAUGAUGGCAAUAGAGGAUCUGAGAUGAUGAGGACAGACACUUGAGCUGAGGAAGCAGUGCUAUCCACUGUCUUCCUCCUCUCAAGGAUGUAGGUAAUGUGGGAAGAUGGAGGGCUGACAGGAGAUGCUUGUAGGUGAUUCUCAGGGAGGUGUCUGAGAAACACUUUCAGCUACUUUCCCAAAGCUAAGUGUUUCCAAAGAUGCUUGAAACAGUUGUGUAGAGAACAGGAUGGACCAAACUGGGAGAUGACUGAGCACUGGAUGACCCUUGUGAUUCUCAGAGUGCUAUGAGGUGAGCCCUCUGUGACAUCACAGGGUAAAUCCCUGCCUUAGUAAUAGCAGACUGCUUAGCCUGCGGAUAACUCAAGAGUCCAGCAAGGAGGGCUGGGAUUCACACUGAGCACAUGUGUCUGCCUCGGCUUGGGCUGUUUUCUGGGAUGGACUACCUGAAAUUCAUCGCGUCCACUUCCAUAUGUGUGAAAGUGCAUGAGGAGGACAUGGAAUGAUGCUAUAUAUCUUGCUACAAAUAUGUAUAAACAGUUGCUAUUAAAGCAGUGUUGUUGAGUAUAUGCUUUUCUAGUAAGAUCAGAUUACCCUGAGAUUCUACCAUACACCGAUUGGAAUUGAAAAGAUCAUGAACUCAAGUGACAGCACAUGGUGACAAGGGUGUGGAGAAAGAGUUACACUCCACUAUUGCUGGUGGGAUUGCAAACUGGUACAACCACUCUGGAAAUCAAUCUGGCAGUACCUCAGAAAAUUGGAAAUAAUUCUACAUGAAGACCCAGAUAUUCUACUACUGGGCAUAUACACAAAAGAAGAUGCACAAUAACACAAGGACACAUGCUCCACUAUGUCCAAAGCUGCCAUAUUUGUAUUAGCCAGAAGCUGGAAACCAGAUGUUCUUCAACCAAGGAAUGAAUGUAGAAAAAAUGUGGUUCAACAACACAAUGGAAUACUGCUCAUCUAUUAAAACUGAGGACAUCAUGAAAUUUGCAGGCAAAUGGAGAGAACUAGAAAAUGUCAUCCUGAGUGAGGAACCCAGGCUCAAAAGGACUUACAUGUUAUGUCCUCACUGAUAAGUAGUUAUUUGGCAAAAAGAUCAGAAUAUCCAUGACCACAUAAAAUUUAAUUAGAAGGAAGGUCAAAUUGUGGAUACUUCAAUUCAACAUAGAAGGAGAAACAAAAUAAUCCCAGGAGGCAGAAGAAGGGAGGGAUGUGGAUAAAAGAGGGAGAGUCAGGGACAAUCGGUGGCAGGAUCAGGUAUGUGGGGAGACAGGAGAGAAGGACAGAGGGCCAGGAGUAUUAAUAGAAACAUACAACCGUGUGGGAAUGAAGAGCAGGGCAAAUAUCUAGAAAGUCCCAGACAAGAUGGAUGUGGAAGUCUCCCAAACCUCAUUGGGAAUGACCUUAGCCGAAAUGUCCAAGAGUGGGUAGACGGAACCUAAAUAGAAUAUCUCCAGCAGAGAGCAUGGCCCCCAUUUGAGGCAUGGGGGCACCUGACCAUCUUCAAAAUUUGGACCCAGAAUUGUUCAUAUCUAAUUAUAUGUAGUGACAAAAGUGGAGCAGAGACUGAAGAAAAUGCCAUCCAUUGCCUUUAUCAAUCCAUCCUAUGGGCAGAAAAAAAAAAAACCUUGACACUAUUACUGAAGCCAUGUUGUGCUAAGAAAGGAACCUGGCAUGACUGUCCUCUGACAGACUCUAUCAGGAGCUUAUUGACAAUGUUGCAGAUACAUAGAGCCAACCAUUGAGCUGAAGUCCAGGAGUGUUUUGUUGUUUAAGCCAUAUUUAUACAACCACAACUUAAAGACAGGUAAAACCUAAAACAUAAUUGCUAAAAUAUUGCUUGAGAUUCAAUCAAAAUUCAAAUAGUCUUUAAGAGAAUAAUAUUUAAAGACAUCAUGGGGAUGCAUAAUCUCCAUAAUCUCCAAUAAUCUUGACUAGGGAAGUGAUACAAUAGAAGAGUUAGAAACCAUGGAUGUAUGUGAAUAAUACCAACUUUGUUCCAACCACCAGGGAAAUAUAACUAUGAUAAAAAAUGAAAAAAAAAAAAGACAAGUUCAUCCUCUUAGAAAUUACUCUGGAAAUAUCCUCACAAUAAAAAAAUAUCAGGACAAGUCAAACAUACAUAGUAAUUUACCAACACAGUUAAGAAAUGCCCAGUAGAAAUUUGAGGGUCAGAGUUCUUAUGAGCAGCAGAGAAAGUCGUCUCAAUCUUGGUACAAUUCCUUUCUGCCCACUAGCCUAGCAAUUCCUUUGACCUGGGAGUUUCCAUGACUUCUUGGUUGCAGUUCCUGCCACUGCUCUAGUGACUGAAAAAAGAUUCCUAAGGCCUAAACUGGCAACAGUGCAGAUGAAGGGAAUUUUUCCAUUGUUGUGAGACCCAUGGCAGCGUGCUCUACUCCUAGUUCCACACCUUGCAGCUUGCAGACUCCUGACAAGGAGGGGAUUCUGAUCCCACUCCACUUCCUUCAGGCCUUCAGUUUCUCUUAGGAAUCCUCCUGCUAAAAAAGCAGUUUCAAUCAAGAAAUGAGUCUUCCUACCUACUCCUAAUGUUUCCCAUCCCCAUGUUCUCCCACCAGUUGUCUUGCUGCUAAAGAGAUAUUUUCUUUCCAUGCAAGGUACUGCCCUAGUCCUGCUGGGUUACUAAAAUUGUAGCCACUGGAAGAUCUUCUGGGAAUGUUCAUUAGUCUUCUGUAGUGUGGCUCUAAUUGUGUAUCUUACAAUGCUCAUCCACAAAUAGUGAAUGUUUCCAAAUUUGGUGAGCCUGUUUUCUUGGUCUUCAAACAUGAUAUUAUUAAUUUCCCUAAGCCAAUGACUUUCAUCUUUUUCAAUCUGCACAUGAUGCCUUCCACAUAAUUCCAACAGUGAGUCUACCUGAACCUAUGUUGUACACCCUCACCAUAUUCUUGUUGUACCAUAGACAAGAAGCAGGUGUAUAAAUGUUUAUAGAAUGAAGACAAUCAUAUUGUGUGAGGGGCAAAAGGUAAGUUGUGUAUUUGCUGUGCACAAUUUGGAACUUUUCACUGACACUGGAAAUAUCUGAAGAUUUGGGAUAAUUAUCUCUAAGUCAUCAGGCAGUGGGGCCUAGAAUCAUGCAACAUAAGAAACUGGAAUAUCCAGAGACUGUCCAGGUGGUUGUAAUUUCCUGACUGUUAAGGGCUACUUCAGAAGCCUAAAUUUAAAUUGCCUGGUGUGUGAGCAUCAGCAUCCAUGAUGCAGCACUUGAUAGAAAAUACUAAUGAUCAUUUGAAAACAAGGGCCUCUAAAGUGUCUAUUAGUAGUUUGAUCCUACUAAGGAAGAGGUCAACAAUUUCCAAUACUAAGAAUAACAUAUUAGUUAUCACUAAGUUUCUCAAAAGUUGAGAAUUUUCCUUAUUUUUUUAAAUCAAGGAAAAAUGUAUAGUGAUAUAGAUUUGUUCAACAAUUUCCACUUCUGAGAAUAACAUAAUGUUAUCACUAAGUUUCUCACAAGUUGAAAUUUGUCCUUAUUUUUUUAUAUCAAGGAAAAUGUGUAAAUAGAUUUGUUCAUUUUAACAUAUGACAUUUUCUUAGAUCCUAAUUUUCUGAGUCUUCCUGAAUUUACUAUAAAUAUUCUAAUAAAAUGCUUUUGCUUGGCAUAA
This is a long non-coding RNA of Mus musculus (house mouse), 3698 nucleotides long. RefSeq annotates it as predicted gene, 26763. The record is from RefSeq and is a predicted model, not a curated record. Lineage: Eukaryota; Metazoa; Chordata; Mammalia; Rodentia; Muridae. The transcript has 3 exons.